AGCCGGUAAUCUUCGGUAAGUAACAAAACACGUGGCUGAGCUUAGGACCCCCACCACUCGAGAAAUUCUCUUUCUCUCUCUCUCUUUCUCUCUUACCUCCGGUGUUACACUCGGUGUAUUCCCGCCUCCUCCGUGGUAACCCGUCAUUCGACAGAAAUUUCCUGCGUAUAUAGUACAUAUAUAUCGCGGAUUUCAACGCGUUUCCUUCUUUCUGUGAACAGAUUUUUGUUUUCUUGUCUCUUGUGUUUCUUGCGUGUUUCUGGUGACGAAAAGAAUCGAAGGAUAUUUCUAUUUUUCGUUAAAAAGAUGUUCGUUCAACGGUGUGGAUGGUUGUUUAAAGGAGGAGGGAAGUGAAGGAUGAAACGUAGAUUAGGAGAGGCGAGUGUUGGGGAGCGGCACGUUUCAGCCCGCCAAUUAAUAGAAGAGGAAGGAAGGAAGAACAAUUUAUCACCAUAUUUAUAUUCAAUCGAUUAAUUGAAACGAAAAUUGCGCGAUUGAUAUCGAUUUUCUUCGUUUCCUCGUUCGAAUUCACGUUCAAUUCACUUGAAAAAGAAACGAACGAAGCGGUUCUCGAAAACUUGUCCUCGAGAAACAAAGUGUUUAUUCAUAUCGUACGUAUUCGCUCGUUCUGCGCGUCUGGAACAUUCUAGCGCGAAAACGAUGUGAACGGCGAUGUACGAUUAUAAACGAGGCUCACUUACCGUGCAAAAGAGGGGACGCGACAGUUGGUUGGUUACAAACACGACACGGAUUAUCCAGGCCAUUGCUUAGUAAAUCUACCAGAUCCUAGCUAUUGCGCUCGUUUCUCGGAUUUGGCGUGCGUUCCGAUAUUUAAACGUUGAUCCACCAAUGUGAACAAGAUUCCACGUUUAAUGAGCAAUGGAUCGUUGAUCGAAUAUCUGCCAAUUAUCGUAUUUCCGUUUCCAAAACUUUCCUAGGAUAAGCUUUUCGAGGGAUAAUGCGAUAUGACAUUACGAUGUCGAAAUUAAUUACAAAAAUUUGAACAGUGCAGUUUUAAGUUGAAAAAGAAUAACCUUGUCGAGGGACAACGACAUGUCGAAAUUAAUUACGAAAGAUCAACGACGCAGUUUUAAGUUUGAAGUUGAAAAAGGAAAAUUUGAAUAACGUAGUUUUAACUUAAAUUGAAGAGAUGAGAAAUGUUAUAUAUUAAUAUCGAAACCAUAACCUUUUCGAGGGACAUGGCAAUACAAUGACACGUCAAAAUUAAUUACAAAAAUUUGAACAACGCAGUUUUAAAUUGAAAAAGGUUAAUCUUUUCGAGGGACAACGACACGUCGAAAUUAAUUACGAAAAAUCGAAUAACGCAGUUUUAAGUUGAAAGGAUAACCUUUUCGAGGAACAUGGCGAUACAACGACACAUCGAAAUUAAUUACGAAAAAUCGAAAUACGUAGUUUUCACUUAAAGUUGAAAAAGGAUAACCUUUUCGAGGGAAAAUAUAAUACGACUCGUCAAAAUUAAUUAAAAAAAUCUGAACAGCGCAAUUUUAACUUAAGUUGAAGAAGAAAGAAAGGUUAUGUUCUUCGAAUAUUUGAACGCGAAAAAUCUGCAGGACUGCAAGUAUCUUCGAAUAUAGAUGAACCAUAGAUUUUUUUUAAACUUUUAUCUUUUACUGAAAAACUUAUUAAUAAAAUAGUGCGCGAAACAAAUAAUUAUGCAAAAUAAAAAAGUCAGAGGAAAAACUUGCCUUGACAAACCGAGGAUGCAUCUUGAUCCGAAUCAUCUGGACUUUUCGACCGAGCGAAACAGGCUUGCAGUACCUGAGGGUUAAGUGAAACGAAGCUCAGUGGUUAACGAACAACCGAAUGCAUAUUUCCGUUUCCUUCUGCCCAUCUCUCCUCAUAUCGGUCGACUAUCCAGCGGCGAAAAUUGUUUGGAAGCCACCUUGGAGGUGAUUCGAGGGAUGUUCGAAUGGCUCGGGAAUCAAUUGCGUUAGAGAUUACCGCGUUUGAUUCAAUUCCCAGUUUCUGGCUGAGCUUAAUUUAUUAUCGUUCCGGCCAACGCUCCAACUGUUUGGUCACGGACUUUGGCUACGGCCACGGGUUAUACGGGUGUGCUCCCGCGUGUACAGCUACACGCCCCGUACACGCGGAUGGAUAUACGUACGAUUUAUAAUACGGGCGAGGCGCGUUGUUAAUCGCGCGGGAUACGAGUUGGAAUUUUGCCGGUGUUCUUCGAUCGUCCCGGGUUUCAACCAUCGUCAAAAUUUCAUUACCCGUGUUGCGAAUAAUUUUCCUAUAUAUAUAUUUUGUACGAAUUUCGUUCUAGGAAAAAAUUCUUUUUCUAAAAAUAAUUUCAAUUUCGAUGACAGUCGAAAGAAGAAUCGUGUUUAAUUUUUGGGAUGUUUUCUACGAAUCGUUCUAUAAAAAAAUUCUUUUCGAAAAAUUUCAACGAAAGCCUUUUUUAUAUAUAUAUAUAUAUAUUUUGUACGAAUUUCGUUCUAGGAAAAAAUUCUUUUUCUAAAAAUAAUUUCAAUUUCGAUGAAGGUCGAAAGAAGAAUCGUGUUUAAUCUAAUGUUUCCUAUGAAUCAUUCUAUAAAAAAAUUCUUUUCGAAAAAUUUCAAAGAAGAUUAAAAGAAGAAUCGUGUCCAAUCCUUGGGAUAUUUUCUAUAUUAUAUAUAUAUGUAUUUCACGUGAAUCUAAAAAAAUUCUA
Long non-coding RNA from Apis laboriosa (Himalayan honeybee), 2671 nucleotides. RefSeq lists it as uncharacterized. NCBI's taxonomy places the organism in Eukaryota, Metazoa, Arthropoda, Insecta, Hymenoptera, Apidae. The transcript is spliced from 8 exons. The record is from RefSeq and is a predicted model, not a curated record.